CCCUGCCACCCCCUACAGCUGCCCACGUACCAGACAUCUCCUCCCACAGCCUCCUUCUCACCUCUUUCCCUCCUCUUUCUCUCUCUAUAUUGGGUGGAGCUCGAUUGAAGUAGAAGUGGGCAGAUUUUAAGCUUGAUGCUGAGAGGAGCUGCUGAGCAGAAUUUUUGGCUAUUGGGGCUGAGGGCAACCUGGUAGAACAUCUAAUUAAGGUUUGACGUGCUCGGAAGUUCGAAUUGAUAUUCCGACGGACCUACGACGUGGUAAUUGAGAAACGCUUCGUUCUAGCUUUACUUGCAUCAAGUCGCGUGGGCUAAUGUUUAUACGGUUCGAGAAGUUGGUUCUAGUCUUCGGCAUCCCUACAGGUUCCAGUGCGAGCGGUGUGGCCGAGGAUCGCGGCAAGAGCCCAGCAGCUUAGCUAGCAGACACCAGUGUUUAGUGGUAUAUACCCGUUUGGUUCAUAUUGUACAUAAUGAUGAACAGAGACUUGUAAAUGAAUGUAUAAAAGAGCAUGUAAAUAACUAAAUGUUUCAGUUAUUCAGUUAUGUAUAGUUCAGUUUUAAAAGUUUUAAAUUAUAGUGAAUUUUAUGUAUAGUUAGUUA
Long non-coding RNA from Ananas comosus (pineapple), 599 nucleotides. RefSeq lists it as uncharacterized. The record is from RefSeq and is a predicted model, not a curated record. NCBI's taxonomy places the organism in Eukaryota, Viridiplantae, Streptophyta, Magnoliopsida, Poales, Bromeliaceae. The transcript is spliced from 3 exons.